Molecule: ribosomal RNA, 262 nt
Filed under: uncultured bacterium
Lineage: Bacteria
Description: partial 16S ribosomal RNA
Rfam family: Bacterial small subunit ribosomal RNA
Source: RNAcentral
CCGCGGUAAUACGGAGGGAGCUAGCGUUGUUCGGAAUUACUGGGCGUAAAGCGCACGUAGGCGGCUUUGUAAGUUAGAGGUGAAAGCCCGGGGCUCAACUGGGAGAGGUCGUUCGAAACUGGGCCGCUAGAGGGCAGUAGAGGGGCGUGGAAUUCCGGGUGGAGUGGUGAAAUGCGUAGAGAUCCGGAGGAACACCAGAGGCGAAGGCGGCGCCCUGGGCUGCACCUGACGCUGAGCCGCGAAAGCUAGGGGAGCGAACGGG